GCAGAAGAAGCACCGGCUAACUCCGUGCCAGCAGCCGCGGUAAUACGGAGGGUGCGAGCGUUAAUCGGAAUUACUGGGCGUAAAGCGCAUGCAGGUGGUUGUUAAGUCAGAUGUGAAAGACCGGGCCGUCAACCUCGGAAUUGCAUUUGAAACUGGCAGACUAGAGUACUGUAGAGGGGGUAGAAUUUCAGGUGUAGCGGUGAAAAUGCGUAGAGAUCUGAAGGAAUACCAGUGGCGAAGGCGGCCCCCUGGACAAAGACUGACGCUCAGAUGCGAAAGCGUGGGGAGCAAACAGGAUUAGAUACCCUGGUAG
This 313-nucleotide ribosomal RNA is filed under the name uncultured bacterium. RNAcentral's name for it is "bacterial SSU rRNA". It matches the Rfam family "Bacterial small subunit ribosomal RNA", at positions 481 to 793 of the family's 1533-position model. The record is from RNAcentral.